Molecule: long non-coding RNA, 712 nt
Filed under: Fukomys damarensis (Damara mole-rat)
Lineage: Eukaryota; Metazoa; Chordata; Mammalia; Rodentia; Bathyergidae
Description: lncRNA (ENSFDAG00000023236.1)
Source: RNAcentral
UGGUUUUUAACUGUGAAAAUUUAUUUUGCUCAUGUUACAUGGCAUUGCCCAGCUGUGGCCCUGCAGCUUUGCUCUAGAAGCUACUCAGAAGAAGCAGCUUCUCCUUGGUAUUAUGCUUCUUGUGGUGGAGGGAAAGGAGCACAGCGACUACCCUAGGCCCUGCUCUUAAACGCUCUGCUAGAAUUCUCCCAGUCGUCAGACAUUCACAUUCCCCAGGUCCCAGCAAGUCCUAUGGCCAAGACCAAGAUCUAAAAUGACCCCAGAAGCUCAUGUGUUCAGAAAGUGGGCUUUUGGAAGGUGACUGGAUCAUGAAGAUUCCAAUUUAAUUAGCGGAGUAACCCACUGAUCAAAUGCGCUCAUCAUUUGAUAGCACUUUGGCAGGCGAUGGAAACCAGUCAAAGAUGUACGGAGGGGAGAAAAUGGUGAAGUGGAGAUCAUUAGCAACGUCCAGCCUCUCUAAGAUCCAGAAUCCAGACAUGGGAAAUAACAACUUGGCAAGCAAGCAAACAAACAAAUCCAUGAUUUAACAUCUGACUGCUCCGUACUGACAUUAUUCAUGUGAUUCAAGUAAAUCUCCAGGAACUGACAAGGCAAUGCACUAUAAGGACAAGAAGAAUAAAGAAGUAGUAAGUCUCUGAACAAUUCUUUCUGUGACAACUGUGGGAGGAUUUUGAUAAAUGUUGGCAACAGAGCACUGCAUGUGAUGUAGGGA